RNAcentral lists this long non-coding RNA (223 nucleotides) under Capsicum annuum. RNAcentral describes it as "long non-coding RNA (CANN_LNC014750)". The record is from RNAcentral. Lineage: Eukaryota; Viridiplantae; Streptophyta; Magnoliopsida; Solanales; Solanaceae.
CCGUGUUGAGUAGAGUCUUUUGCAUGGGUGUUAAGCAUUCUACACUUAUGGGCAAGAGGCUAUGAGAUGUUUUAGGAAAGUUUCCCUUCUUUUAGUGUUUAUGUCAUGUGAAAGAGACUGAGCCCUAUUCAAUCCCUCUUUCUAACUUAUACUUGAUUCAAUUUAUAGACAAUUCCUCUUAGAAGAAACAACGGAAGAAUGAACUGGGAUCAUCCUGCACCCC